CCAUAAGAGCAGCCACAUCCCUAGCUACAGUACCGCGAAUGAUUGAUUCUCCUUUGCCUGUUGCAGAAACUGCACAGAGACUGUUGGCAUAUGUCCCUGCACCUAUUAUGGGUGUGUCCCCAAUCCUACCCACCAUUUUGUUUACCAAUCCACCAGUAGAAGUUGCAGCAGCCAAGUUCCCAUUCCCGUCAACAGCCACACAUCCGACAGUUCCAAUUUGGCUAUCUCCAUCACCAUCAGCAAUUGGAUUUUCAGUUUUCCCAUCUUUUUGAAUGGGUUGUGUAUAAUCAAUCUGCACUCUGUUAGCUUCUUUUGCCUGUUUUAGCCUCUCAACAUUUUCAGGAGUCACAAAAUGACUCGAAUUAACAGUCUCAACACCCU
Molecule: unclassified non-coding RNA, 381 nt
Filed under: Hevea brasiliensis (rubber tree)
Lineage: Eukaryota; Viridiplantae; Streptophyta; Magnoliopsida; Malpighiales; Euphorbiaceae
Source: RNAcentral